UCACUCAUAAUUACUAAGUCAGGUUGAUUAAAGGUUGUAUAUUCUUAUUUACUUCAUACAUGUGCAGGAACUCAGCCGAAGAAACCUUACCAAAGAUGGGCAGUAUAGAUAGAAGUAAUCAAGGAACACUAGAAGAACAGAUGUUUUAUAGGAGGAGAACAUUAGAAGAACUUACUGCAAUGAGGCACGGAAACCAGCCAGACCAGGUAACGCAUCAAAAUUCCAAUAAAUGAUAUCAUCAAUCUUCGUGAUACGCGAUAAGACCUGCAUGGACAAUUCAUUUAAUAUUAGUUACAAUGAAACCAUAUUGUGCUUAUAUAUGCCUCUUAAUCCCACACCCCACCCAAAUGCUAAUGUUGUUUUUUUAGGAUUUUGUGUUCACUGUCAUAGCUACAGUGGAUCGUUUGCAAGAAAAUAUUCAAUGGUGGUACAUGUCAUGUGAUAAGUGCCACAAAUUAGUGACCAUUAUUAUUGCAAGAGUUGUGGUAUAUAUCCAGAAAAGGUCACACCAUAGUAAGCAUAUUAUAUUACUAAAAUAUGAAAAAAUGUUAUAUUAUAUUUACUCUCCACUACCAGGAAUCAUGUGUUAGGUACCGUGUUCGACUCCAAAUUAGUGACCAUACAUCUACUACAAGUUGCACUUUAUUUGAUGAGGAGGCUGCAAGAUUGCUUAAUACAUCUGCAUCUAAUCUGCUGGACACACAGGAUGGGAAAUCGGAAGAAGCGCCAAACAUUAUUCAACAAUUACGUGGAAAAAGACUCAUAUUUAGAUUCAAGCUCAAUGAUAAUAAUCUCACAUUUGGCACACAAAACUAUGCCGUUAAAAGAACAUUUGUGCCUGAUGAUAGGCUUGAGAUGCUCUAUUUGGACAAUAAAGCUGAGGAGGUAAAGCUGCAUUAACUUUUUACCAUUUUCAGAAUUCCUUAAUGGAUGAUGAGGUGGACACUGUGUUAAUGAAGAAGCAAAACAUGCCAGAUAGAAAGGUGAUUGCUUUUUUAACAAUGUACACACUUCAGAUUUUAGAGAUGUGUCUAAUUUUCAAAAUGUUUAUCUUUGCAGUCACAGAAUAAUAAAGUUUCAUCUGGCAAACUUUCAUGUGAACUGGUGCCUGUGAAAGAGGAGUCACAUGACAGCAAUGGGACUACAUUAAAUAAAGAUAAGCGUCAAGACAAAAUACCAUCGUCAUCACGUGAGCUCCGCAGUGGCACUAAAAGGAGACUGAGAUCUUUGUAAUAUCAGAUGAGUCAGAGGAUGAAUGCACUAAGACGAAUAUGCCUAAAAAAAGGGAAAAUGUGUUUGCGGGAACAAGAAACAUGUUAAAGCAAAAGCAAAAAAUACAGUGCUUGAAGAUGAAGAUGAAGUACCGAAAUCAAAGGCCAGGAGAAAAAGGAUGUUAUCCAGAUAAUUAGUGGAUCAGUAGCUUAUGAAAUAAAUAGUGCGACAGUCUAUUUGUAUCGACCAAGAUAAGUAAUAGUAUUUGACUGACAUCAACCAUGAUAAGAAGGAUACUUAUUAGAUUCAGGGUGUGGACGUUACCAAUGUUCUUAGUUUAAAAUAGAUUGAUAACUUUCUUUAUGUAGUUUCCUUUAUGCACAUGCUAUUUUAGGAAAAUCUUUACGAGGCCAACGCAAUAGACAAGAACAUACUACAAGACCAGACUUUCGCACAUUAGGAUUUACUUCACAAUUUGAAGAAACUAUACUUUAGCAAACCUAUAUAACACCAGCACAAUAGAAAGGAACAUACCUUGCUUCAUCAGUAACUUAAUAGCACGACUGGAUAUAAGCAAAUCAAUGGCGUCUUGCUUCCACAAGUG
RNAcentral lists this long non-coding RNA (1816 nucleotides) under Triticum aestivum (bread wheat). RNAcentral describes it as "long non-coding RNA (TAES_LNC022579)". Lineage: Eukaryota; Viridiplantae; Streptophyta; Magnoliopsida; Poales; Poaceae. The record is from RNAcentral.